Molecule: long non-coding RNA, 4667 nt
Organism: Poecile atricapillus (Black-capped chickadee)
Lineage: Eukaryota; Metazoa; Chordata; Aves; Passeriformes; Paridae
Exons: 6
Source: RefSeq, a predicted model, not a curated record
CCCAGCUGCCAGGUACAGGAUGGAAAUGCUCUCCUUGGCUUCAGCAUUGCCAGAGUUGGGUGGGAAUGAUUCAGGCUGCCUGUGUGGGCUGCCUGCUCCCAAACCAGCACUUGGCUGGAGCUGCUCCCUGCUUUUCAUCUGUGCUGGGAAUGAGAUGGACACGAUCUGGGCCCCAUUAGUUGGUUCUGUGCACAUUAUUAAGUCAGGCUGACACUAAUAAGUGCCUUAAAUACCUUCUGAUUCUCCCUCCUCUUGCUGAGCAGAGCCAGUUGGGAGUGAAUUCCACCCUGAAAGCCACGAUCUUGGGCUGAGAUGAGCUUUAGGCUGAAGAUCCCUGUUAGUAAUCCCUGAAUUGAGAGUUUUGGAAAUGCAAAAAUAGCAUUUAUGUAGCUGAUACAGUAUUGCUGAUGGUUCCCAGAGCUCUGGAUCCCAGCAGGGGGGGACAGGAGGAGCAGGUGAGGUAAAAUCAAAGCCAUUUGGAGUCAGAGGCAAGGUGAGCAUCGUUCACCCCUCAGCUCUGCCUUGUGUGCAGGUUUUCAGUGACACAUUCCCAGUGUCCUUUGGUGGAACAGACACCCCUGGAGGAGCAGAGUUGGCCAAAGAAAAGUCUCUGGAGCGAGGGAUUCACACUGCCCAACAUCCCAGUGACCCUUGGCUGUCGUUUCUCACAUGAAUCCGUUUGGAUGGCUCUGAUCCCACCAGCAGCUCCACAGGGACCUGGGAAUCCUCCAGGGAAGGGGCCAGGACAAGGAGGGGGCUCCUGGACUGCAAAUAAAUCCUGAGUGGGAAUGAAUGAAGCUGAAGAGGGCAGAAUUUCUGUGGGCAGGGGGACAGUCAGGAGCAGGGCAGGGCCUGUCCCCUGUGCUGGCUCUGCUGAGGGACCUCGAGGGUGCCCAGUUCUGCAUCCUCAGUGAGGAGGGACCUGGAGGGGCUGGAGCCAGGGAACGGGGCUGGGAAGGGGCUCAGCCUGGAGAAAAGGAGCUCAGGGGGGCUCUGCACAACUCCCUGGGCACUUCCAGUGCCUGAGCUCCCUUUCCAUGGGGAAAUUCCUGCUGCUGUCCACCCUGAGCCUCCCCUGGCCCAGCCUGAGGCCAUUCCCUCUCCUCCUGUCCCUGUUCCCUGCGAGCAGAGCCCAGAUCCCACCUGGCUGUCCCCUCCUGGCAGUGUUCCAGCUCCUGGAGCUCCCAUGGGGAGGUGGAACCUGCUCCCAGACUGGGAUUUGGGUGCAAACAGCACCAGAAACGAGCCCAAGCUGGAGUUCACUGCCAUGUCCGGAGAGUUUUUAUUUUCAGGAGCAGCCACUGCACCACACAUCACUGAGCACAGGCCAGGGCUGGCACCACCAGCCAAGAUGGGAAAAAGCUGAACUGGGAGGCCACGGGAACCCAGAUGGGACCUUCCCAUCUUUUCCAGGGAAAUUGUGCCGCUGUUGAUGGCCCAGUGGCGUUGCUGGGCUGGCAGGAGCUCUGCUGGGAUUAUUGUUGGAUUAACAGGAGCUGCCAGGUGGCUCCUGCCAGGUUUGCUGAGCCAGGGAGGGAUGAGAGGUGACACAGGACACGGACAUUUCAUGUUUGGAAUUUCAUCCAGAUGGAAGAGGAGCCUUUUCCCAGUGAGAGCUGUUGACCAUUUUGGCUGGUGAGCCACUGCUCCUGUUGACAGAGCCUUGGGAAUGUUGUCCCUGGGGAAACUGGGAGUUUGUUUUAAAUUCAAGAGAACUUUUCCUAAUGCACAUAAAAAUAAAGGAGAAAACAAUGCCUGAAGGACAAAGCAGAACCAAAGAACCUUUCCCUGUGGUUUCCCCGUGCUGCUGGUUCCAUCUCACUCCAGGAAAUUUCACACCAAGAUUUUGUUGCCCUUCAAUGGGGACAGAGAAAAGGGGUUUUUUUAGGAUUUCUUUAAGAAAUUUGAGGCUUGAGGUGGAGCUGAGCCAAGCUGUUCUGCAGCCUCGUGUGCCCAAACCCCAACAAAACCCCUGUGGGCACUUCCACAGAGCCAGAGGAUCAACAGCACUCAAGCAGCCCUGGGUGGAUUUUUUCCAAACUUUCAAUAAUGGAUUUUUUUUUCACUCACCGUUCUGGUAUCAAGAGUGAAGUUAAAUGAAUUUUUUUUGGAAAUAAAAGCUGUUAAAAACAGGACAUUGCCAACCAGGUCCCAGUGAUGAACCAGGAGCACCUUCCACCACAAACACCAAUAAUUUGUGUCUUUCCAGCAGCCAGCAAUUUUCUACCUCAGCCUUCCAACCGAGGCUGUUUCUGCCCAGUGUCCUUCUGAAUCCUAAAGGAAAAGGAUGUGAAGCUUCAGCAGUGACUUUGCUGUGGAAGAAGUAUUUAAAGAAGUCAGACACCAUGGCCAGGAAUCCACUUGUUCUCAUGCACAAAAUUUCUCCAACUGAGCAAUAUUUUUGUUUGUUCCGAGCAGGAUUUGUCUGUUUACAGUAAAUACCUGUCACAUAGCAACAGAAAUAUUACUAAAUAAUAAUACAUAGAAUGUUAAGCUCCUUGGGCUAGAAGCUUUUAAUGAAAAAAACCACAUGUUCCUGAUAAAAAAUAAUAAAUAAUGUCAGCUUUUCUUUGUACAUUAAAAAUAUCUGUACAUGGUUACACGAUAUGACAAAGUACAAUUUUAUUUCCUAGGCUCAGGGUGGCAUCUCUGGGGUAGAUCUUCACUUAAAAAGGGUCGAGGCUCAUGGUCUUGAUCCUGCAUGAAAAUCCUUUUCCCAAAUUUGGGGAGUUUAGAGCCUUGCCCACCCUUUCCAUGCAAAGGGAGAAGCAGCUCACGAGGAACGUGGCAACAUCGACAUGCAGAGAGCAGCUGAGGACCGAGAUCUUUGCACAUGGUGAGACUGGAAAAGUCUGGAAAACUUCUUGCCUCAACUGGAAGAGACCAGCAACAAAUAGAAAAAUAAAGGUGGCAAAGGUGUUGGUACCUGUGGGGAGCGAGUUCCACAGAAAAGGCUCAUCCACACCCAAAAUUCAGCUGCUUCCCCUGCAGGAACACAGCUGGUGUGCCUCAGCUCCCACCCCAUGGAUCUGCCCAGGAUUUAUCCUAAAAUGCAAGGAGGAAACAGCACCAGGACCCUCCCUGUGUGGGCUGAAGGCUUCAGGAGAAAGCAGCCAGUUGCUGAAGCCCAACUUCAAGUGAAACACUUUAAAACCCUUUUCUUCCUUCAUCUACAACCAGAAACUCCCCCCAGGAACCAGCCACCAUCCCACCUGGAAUAGAUACCCAAGGAAAAGGCGAGCAGCCUCAAACCCCCAGGAACAAACCCCUGGAAGUGCAGGAUGGCUCUGGGGGGCACCAGGAAAGAUCCCAGGGAUGGAAUUCCAGCGGGGCAGGAAUAAAACCUGAGUGAGAUCUCCAGGACAUCAGGAAGGUCCCCUGAAUUGUCCCCCCAGAAAGGCACUGCUGAUAUUUUUGGGAAACUGGGAGAUGCUGGGAAACAGAGAAGAGUCUCAGAGACAACUGAGAAGAGUGUGACACAAAAUCCAAGAAUCUCUGGAAUUCCCUAUUUUAAUCUCUGAUGAUUUUCCACUUUGAAAGAGCAAAAUCCUCCAAUCUGAACCCCACCAAACGUGAGAAUGAACAAAAUGCAUUGUUCCAUUUCCAUUUCUGCUGAAGAAAUGAAUGCACAGAGGCCAAAUCAAAUGGAAUUUCACAAAGCAUUUGCUUUUAAUGCAGCUGCAGAUGAAACUUCCAGAAAUGAGAGCAGAAUUAUCCCUCUCUCAGCACUCCCAGGUUCACAGACUCCUGAAAAUUAAAAUCUUCCCAGUACCUCUGUAACCUCUGGGCUGAAUUUGUCCUGUUCCCAUCACUGCAGUGAAGUUCUGCACUUGGCCAUCAGCAUCAAAUCAUUAGAGCAGGGAUGUUUUGCUCAACUUCAGCUAAAAACCCUUGGAAUUUGGGCAUUAUGAACGCGAUUUGGUGAUGGAAAUCAACAGAUCCACACAGCAACCAAGAGGGUGGGGAUGGCCCAGAGCUGCUGAGUUCUUCUCCUGUGGAUUUGUGACAUUUUAAUGUUGCAGAAGUCGAUAUUUCCACAACAGAAACAGCAAUUUGGGCAUCAAAAAAUCUCAAACUCAAAGAGGAGCUCUUUGUUUGCAAGUAAAACCAGCUCUCAGCAGCUCCUUCUGAGAUCAUUUCUUAGAGAAAUUCUCUGGAGAUUGGGAUGUGAAGAGUUCCUCUGAUCAAUGAAUUGAUUUGGAGCACAGGUAAGCAAGGCCAUCAAAACACCUGUGUGUGUGCAAACCCUUGAUUUCCAUUUCCCUGCUGCUAACACCAGGUUAUUUCUGUUGUUUUGUGCUUUCAAGAGCACAAAAAUCUGGUCUUUCUGCAGACCUGAGUGUCCUUCAGGGCCACCUGUGAGACCCUACCUGUCCAUUACUUUACACAUUGCCAUCAAAUUUGCUGUGCAGAGCAAAGAAAUAAGCUCAAACUCCUGAAGGUUGUGGCAUCCCUUGGUUACCCCUGGGCCUGUCUAUUUUCUGCUCCAGAGGAGAUGACACAGUCCAUAAAUCUCUGCCCUAGUCCCUGCUUUGGUAAAUAAAAUCUGCUCAGAUUUAUGUUUCUUCCUUCCUGAGGAAAAGCAAAGCAGUGAUACAUGUGGCAAAUGGAACAGAAAAUUGCUUUUCACCCAUCAAGUUCCCAGUGUAACUGGCUGGAGUUUGGGC